This 461-nucleotide ribosomal RNA is filed under the name uncultured Flavobacterium sp. RNAcentral's name for it is "bacterial SSU rRNA". It matches the Rfam family "Bacterial small subunit ribosomal RNA", at positions 337 to 795 of the family's 1533-position model. Lineage: Bacteria; Pseudomonadati; Bacteroidota; Flavobacteriia; Flavobacteriales; Flavobacteriaceae. The record is from RNAcentral.
UCCUACGGGGGGCUGCAGUAGGGAAUAUUGGUCAAUGGACGCAAGUCUGAACCAGCCAUGCCGCGUGAAGGAUGAAGGCCCUAUGGGUCGUAAACUUCUUUUAUUAGGGAAGAAAAAACGGGAUGCGUCCUGUACUGACGGUACUUAAUGAAUAAGGAUCGGCUAACUUCGUGCCAGCAGCCGCGGUAAGACGAAGGAUCCAAGCGUUGUCCGGAUUUACUGGGUUUAAAGGGUGCGUAGGCGGAAAAUUAAGUCAGUGGUGAAAGCCCGCAGCUCAACUGUGGAACUGCCAUUGAAACUGGUUUUCUUGAAUGUAGCUGAGGCAGAUGGAAUAUAACAUGUAGCGGUGAAAUGCUUAGAUAUGUUAUAGAACACCGAUUGCGAAGGCAGUCUGCUAAACUAUUAUUGACGCUGAGGCACGAAAGCGUGGGGAGCGAACAGGAUUAGAUACCCCUGUAGUC